CAGCAGCCGCGGUAAUACGUAGGGUGCGAGCGUUAAUCGGAAUUACUGGGCGUAAAGCGUGCGCAGGCGGUUAUAUAAGUCAGAUGUGAAAUCCUCGGGCUCAACCUGGGAACUGCAUUUGAGACUGUAUGGCUAGAGUGUGUCAGAGGGGGGUAGAAUUCCACGUGUAGCAGUGAAAUGCGUAGAUAUGUGGAGGAAUACCGAUGGCGAAGGCAGCCCCCUGGGAUAACACUGACGCUCAUGCACGAAAGCGUGGGGAGCAAACAGGAUUAGAUACCCGGGUAGUCCCUGUCUCUUAUAA
RNAcentral lists this ribosomal RNA (301 nucleotides) under uncultured bacterium. Its description in RNAcentral is "partial 16S ribosomal RNA". It matches the Rfam family "Bacterial small subunit ribosomal RNA", at positions 509 to 809 of the family's 1533-position model. The record is from RNAcentral.